UACGGGGGGGGCAAGCGUUGUUCGGAAUUACUGGGCGUAAAGGGCUCGUAGGCGGCCAACUAAGUCAGACGUGAAAUCCCUCGGCUUAACCGGGGAACUGCGUCUGAUACUGGAUGGCUUGAAUCCGGGAGAGGGAUGCGGAAUUCCAGGUGUAGCGGUGAAAUGCGUAGAUAUCUGGAGGAACACCGGUGGCGAAGGCGGCAUCCUGGACCAACACUGACACUGAAAAGCGAAAGCCAGGGGAGCAAACGGG
This 253-nucleotide ribosomal RNA is filed under the name uncultured bacterium. RNAcentral's name for it is "partial 16S ribosomal RNA". It matches the Rfam family "Bacterial small subunit ribosomal RNA", at positions 524 to 776 of the family's 1533-position model. The record is from RNAcentral.